Molecule: ribosomal RNA, 484 nt
Filed under: uncultured bacterium
Lineage: Bacteria
Description: partial 16S ribosomal RNA
Rfam family: Bacterial small subunit ribosomal RNA
Source: RNAcentral
AUUGAACGCUGGCGGCAGGCCUAACACAUGCAAGUCGAGCGGAUGAAGGGAGCUUGCUCCUGGAUUCAGCGGCGGACGGGUGAGUAAUGCCUAGGAAUCUGCCUGGUAGUGGGGGAUAACGUCCGGAAACGGGCGCUAAUACCGCAUACGUCCUGAGGGAGAAAGUGGGGGAUCUUCGGACCUCACGCUAUCAGAUGAGCCUAGGUCGGAUUAGCUAGUUGGUGGGGUAAAGGCCUACCAAGGCGACGAUCCGUAACUGGUCUGAGAGGAUGAUCAGUCACACUGUAACUGUGACACGGUCCAGACUCCUACGGGAGGCAGCAGUGGGGAAUAUUGGACAAUGGGCGAAAGCCUGAUCCAGCCAUGCCGCGUGUGUGAAGAAGGUCUUCGGAUUGUAAAGCACUUUAAGUUGGGAGGAAGGGCAGUAAGUUAAUACCUUGCUGUUUUGACGUUACCAACAGAAUAAGCACCGGCUAACUUCGUG